This 403-nucleotide ribosomal RNA is filed under the name Pantoea stewartii. RNAcentral's name for it is "bacterial SSU rRNA". It matches the Rfam family "Bacterial small subunit ribosomal RNA", at positions 999 to 1402 of the family's 1533-position model. Lineage: Bacteria; Pseudomonadati; Pseudomonadota; Gammaproteobacteria; Enterobacterales; Erwiniaceae. The record is from RNAcentral.
UCCAGAGAUGGAUUGGUGCCUUCGGGAACGCUGAGACAGGUGCUGCAUGGCUGUCGUCAGCUCGUGUUGUGAAAUGUUGGGUUAAGUCCCGCAACGAGCGCAACCCUUAUCCUUUGUUGCCAGCGAUUCGGUCGGGAACUCAAAGGAGACUGCCGGUGAUAAACCGGAGGAAGGUGGGGAUGACGUCAAGUCAUCAUGGCCCUUACGAGUAGGGCUACACACGUGCUACAAUGGCGCAUACAAAGAGAAGCGACCUCGCGAGAGCAAGCGGACCUCAUAAAGUGCGUCGUAGUCCGGAUCGGAGUCUGCAACUCGACUCCGUGAAGUCGGAAUCGCUAGUAAUCGUGGAUCAGAAUGCCACGGUGAAUACGUUCCCGGGCCUUGUACACACCGCCCGUCACAC